RNAcentral lists this long non-coding RNA (227 nucleotides) under Bos taurus (domestic cattle). Its description in RNAcentral is "long non-coding RNA NONBTAT007580". The record is from RNAcentral. Lineage: Eukaryota; Metazoa; Chordata; Mammalia; Artiodactyla; Bovidae.
GCCAAAGUUGGGAACUGUCCUCUCAUCAUUUGCAAAAGCAAAGAUUAGGCUCAGAAGUUAAGAUUUCUUUUAUGGAGACUGAAUGGACGUUGAGGGUUCAGUAAGAGGGGCUCUUUGAAGUGAGCUUAAGAAACAAAGUCUUUGAUGUUUUCUUCACUAGGAACUAAGGUUGUUUCCUUCUAAUGGUCAAGAAAAUCUUAACAUUUGGAUGCUGAAGAUUAAAGCAA